UACGUAGGUGGCAAGCGUUGUCCGGAAUUACUGGGCGUAAAGGGCGCGUAGGCGGACAGCUUAGUCAGAGGUGAAAGCCCAGGGCUCAACCUUGGAAAUGCCUUUGAUACUGGCUGUCUUGAGUUCGGGAGAGGUGAGUGGAAUGCCGAGUGUAGAGGUGAAAUUCGUAGAUAUUCGGCGGAACACCAGUGGCGAAGGCGGCUCACUGGCCCGAGUACUGACGCUGAGGCACGAAAGCGUGGGGAGCAAACAGG
Molecule: ribosomal RNA, 254 nt
Filed under: uncultured bacterium
Lineage: Bacteria
Description: partial 16S ribosomal RNA
Rfam family: Bacterial small subunit ribosomal RNA
Source: RNAcentral